CUGAGUUUCACUGAGAUCAAGAGACUGGAUAUUAGUUAUGAAGCAGAGGAUGUGCCUGGAGCUACAGAACCAAUUAAAGAUAUGUGGCUAAAGAAUGACUUCUGUAAUCAAGUGGAUGAAGGUCUGGGAAAAUCUUGUCACUUGGAGAGGUAGCUCACUGCUGGUCAGCAAGGCUGAAUCUACUCCAUGAAGAUUCGCAUGGAUCCAGGCUCAAAGAGGAGUGAUCAUGACAGUCACAGUUCCAAAGAGAAAUAUCUCCAAGUUCUUUCUUAGGCAGUUAAGCCUGUUGGACUUAAAAAGCACUUUACGUGGCUGAACCCAUUGGACAGAAGGAACCACAUGGCUCACCUAUCUCCGAGAUAGAGAUGGAGAGACAGGAAUACUUGCAAAACUGCAGUAAUCACUGUUG
This 409-nucleotide long non-coding RNA is filed under the name Capra hircus (goat). Its description in RNAcentral is "lncRNA (ENSCHIG00000002556.1)". The record is from RNAcentral. Lineage: Eukaryota; Metazoa; Chordata; Mammalia; Artiodactyla; Bovidae.